RNAcentral lists this non-coding RNA (46 nucleotides) under Schistosoma mansoni. Lineage: Eukaryota; Metazoa; Platyhelminthes; Trematoda; Strigeidida; Schistosomatidae. The record is from RNAcentral.
GCACUGUUGAAGAGUCCAACAAUAGGACGAAACGGCUGUCCAUUAC